Molecule: ribosomal RNA, 619 nt
Filed under: uncultured rumen bacterium
Lineage: Bacteria
Description: bacterial SSU rRNA
Rfam family: Bacterial small subunit ribosomal RNA
Source: RNAcentral
GAAUCUAAACUUAGCGGCGGAUGGGUGAGGAACGCGUGGAUAACCUACCGUGCACAGGGGGAUAACAGUUGGAAACGACUGUUAAUACCGCAUAUGCUCACAGUACCGCAUGGCACAGGGAGGAAAGAUUUAUCGGUGCAUGAUGGAUCCGCGUCGGAUUAGCCUGUUGGCGGGGUAACGGCCCACCAAAGCGAUGAUCCGUAGCCGGCCUGAGAGGGCGACCGGCCACAUUGGGACUGAGACACGGCCCAAACUCCUACGGGAGGCAGCAGUGGGGGAUAUUGCACAAUGGGGGAAACCCUGAUGCAGCGACGCCGCGUGAAGGAAGAAGUAUUUCGGUAUGUAAACUUCUAUCAGCAGGGAAGAAAAUGACGGUACCUGACUAAGAAGCCCCGGCUAACUACGUGCCAGCAGCCGCGGUAAUACGUAGGGGGCAAGCGUUAUCCGGAUUUACUGGGUGUAAAGGGAGCGUAGACGGUAUGGCAAGUCUGAUGUGAAAACCCAAGGCUCAACCAUGGGAUUGCAUUGGAAACUGUCAAACUUGAGUGCUGGAGGGGUAAGCGGAAUUCCUAGUGUAGCGGUGAAAUGCGUAGAUAUUAGGAAGAACACCGGCGGCGAA